AGAGUUUGAUCCUGGCUCAGGAUGAACGCUAGCGAUAGGCCUAACACAUGCAAGUCGAGGGGUAACAGGGUAGCAAUACCGCUGACGACCGGCAAAUGGGUGAGUAACGCGUAUGCAACCUACCGAUAACAGUUGGAUAGCUCCCUGAAAGGGGAAUUAAACCGGCAUGAUACUAUUUAAUCGCCUGUUUAGAUAGUUAAAUAUUUAUAGGUUAUCGAUGGGCAUGCGUGACAUUAGCAAGUUGGUGAGGUAACGGCUCACCAAUGCUACGAUGUCUAGGGGUUCUAAGAGGAAGGUCCCCCACACUGGUACUGAGACACGGACCAGACUCCUACGGGAGGCAGCAGUGAGGAAUAUUGGUCAAUGGACGGAAGUCUGAACCAGCCACUUCGCGUGCAGGAUGACUGCCCUAUGGGUUGUAAACUGCUUUUAUACGGGAGCAAUAAGGGUUACGAGUAAUCCGAUGAGAGUACUGUAUGAAUAAGGAUCGGCUAACUCCGUGCCAGCAGCCGCGGUAAUACGGAGGAUCCGAGCGUUAUCCGGAAUUAUUGGGUUUAAAGGGUGCGUAGGCGGCCAUUUAAGUCAGCGGUGAAAUUUUGCAGCUUAACUGUAACAGUGCCGUUGAUACUGUUUGGCUAGGAUUUGGUUGUAGUGUGCGGAAUGUGUGGUGUAGCGGUGAAAUGCUUAGAUAUCACACAGAACACCGAUUGCGCAGGCAGCACACUAAGUCAUUAUUGACGCUGAGGCACGAAAGUGUGGGGAUCAAACAGGAUUAGAUACCCUGGUAGUCCACACUGUAAACGAUGAUAACUCGCUGUCGGCGAUACACAGUCGGUGGCCAAGCGAAAGCAUUAAGUUAUCCACCUGGGGAGUACGACCGCAAGGUUGAAACUCAAAGGAAUUGACGGGGGCCCGCACAAGCGGAGGAACAUGUGGUUUAAUUCGAUGAUACGCGAGGAACCUUACCCGGGCUCGAACGGUGCAUGAAUAUACGAGAGAUUGUAUAGUCCUUCGGGACAUGUAUCGAGGUGCUGCAUGGUUGUCGUCAGCUCGUGCCGUGAGGUGUCGGCUUAAGUGCCAUAACGGGCGCAACCCCUACUGCUAGUUGCCAGCGCGUCAAGGCGGGGACUCUAGCGGAACUGCCGGCGUAAGCCGUGAGGAAGGUGGGGAUGACGUCAAAUCAGCACGGCCCUUAUGUCCAGGGCUACACACGUGUUACAAUGGCCGGUACAGAGGGCAGCUACUCAGCGAUGAGAUGCUAAUCUUCAAAACCGAUCUCAGUUCGGAUCGGAGUCUGCAACUCGACUCCGUGAAGCUGGAUUCGCUAGUAAUCGCAUAUCAGCCAUGAUGCGGUGAAUACGUUCCCGGGCCUUGCACACACCGCCCGUCAAG
This 1392-nucleotide ribosomal RNA is filed under the name uncultured bacterium. Its description in RNAcentral is "bacterial SSU rRNA". It matches the Rfam family "Bacterial small subunit ribosomal RNA". The record is from RNAcentral.